GAGCUUCAACGCAUACGUGCGGGAGGGGAGCGCGCCCGCGCUGCCGGAGACGAAGCGGUUGUACAACAAGCUGCGCUCGGUCGGUAUCAAGCCAGUGUUCCUCACCGGCCGGACCGAGGACCAGAGGGCCAUCACCGUCACCAACCUCCGCCGCCAGGGCAUCUCCGGGUGGAUGAACCUGCUGCUGAAGCAGCCCGGCUUCAAGGGCUCCGCAGUGACCUACAAGUCCGGCGAGAGGCAGAAGCUGCAGGACGCCGGGUACGUCAUCGUCGGCAAUAUCGGCGACCAGUGGAGUGACAUCCUCGGCGCGCCUGAGGGCGCCCGCACUUUCAAGCUGCCAGACCCCAUGUACUACAUCGGCUAGGCUGCCUCCGGCUCGGGCAUGCCGUCAUUGAUUUCUCGAUCGAAUAAGCUCCAUGCUCUUAGUUAUAUUCAUGUUUAGCCAAUAAUCCCUCCCCAGUUGUUGCUUCGUUCAUUUCCAUUGUCGAGAACUUGAGAUUAAAUGCUAUUAUGAAUGUGUUCGUGGAGAAGUUGCAUGUUCUUUAAUCAAUUGAUCCAUGGUCCACUGUUUUGUUUUGCGAGAAAUCCAUGGGCUAUUGUUGUGUUCUUCUUCUUAACUUUUUUUUAGGAAAGGAGGAUCACGCCCGACCUCUGCAUCAGAAUGAUGCAUGCAGCCCUUUUAUUAAGCAAAGUAUCUGAAAAGUCCGCGGUCUAGUACAAGCUUGCUCGGAGCUAAAAAAAAGUAAUGAAAGAAGGUAAAAGUUGACACAACCGGUGAAAAUUGGACAAGAUGACUAAACACCUAGCCUAGUACUAGACCACCAUCCAAACCGAUUGUAGAUAUCCCGAGCCACCACCUCUCAUCGGGUAGACCCAAUAACCAAAGGCUCCCUGACUUCCGCAGAAGUGGGUAACGGCCAUGUACGGAUCCAAGUAGUGGCCCUAUAAAUAACCUGCAAAAAGUUUAUACUUGUUUAUCUGUUAAAACCCAUAUCAUUUCUGCAGUUCCAUAUAGUCCAAAGUAAUACGCAUACUCCUAUCCGAAUAUGCCUAGUAGUAUUUGGAUCAACUCCAUUUAGCCACAUCCCAAAUAAUGUGUGAAUAUUAUUUGAAGCGGUGAUAUUAAAGGCUAUAUGAAUUGAACGUCAUAAUAGUUUGGCCAGCAGAAAAUCGAGAAAGAGGUGUUUAAUAGCUUCAUGUUGAUAAAAAAAAGGAGCAUCGUUGACAACUACGCUUUGCCAAGUAAUCCUUAUUCAGAAUCACCUCUUGUGAACAAACCACAUAAAGACUUUGAUUCUUAACGGCACUUUAAUCUUCCAAAUAUGUAUCGAUUUCAGAAUCAGACCAAAGUCAAUUAGGUGUACGUGCAUAGAUUUCAUUGAGAAGAUCCCGUUCAUAGUUAAUCUCUAGUGAAUAGUAUCUGGCUCAUCAGAGAGGUGAACGUUCAUCAACCUCCGCGUCAGAUGUAGCCAUGCGUCCCAUCGGUCUCCUACUAAAGAUCGUCGCAAUUGAAUGUUUAGAUAUUAACAUUCGGUCUUCUUAACUUGUAUCUUGUACUUUUGAUGGUGCAUUUUUUUACCAAAUAUUAUUGAUGGUGGAACUAAUAUCAGAGGUACAUGUAAUAUUAUCACAUAUAUGAUGUCACUACUAAAGAAUGACCCUUUUUUGCGCCCCUCCAUCAAUGGGCCCAUUUUGACCCGUUCGAGGAAGGGUCGUCGUUGGCGGGUUACCAAACGCCCGUCGCGUGAGACUGCAGAGGCAACCAAGGGAUGGUUGUCUAAACAGGUUGCCACCACAAAUCAAGAGAGAAAGGCUAUGGGAAGCAAGAAAAGUUAAGCCUCACUAUGAUAGUUGCUUGGACGAUUUGGAACGGAACAGAUGUGUGUGUCUUCCAAGGUAUUUAAGCGCUGCCAAAAAUUAUCCUUGCAAAGAUUAAAAAUGAGGCGGCAAAAUUGGUCAAGGCUGGAGCAAAGGAUUUGGGAAACAUUAUGUCGGAAGAGUACCCCGUUCUAUUAAUUUAGCGUUUCAUUGUUGGCCUGUCUUUGUCUCUCCCUUAACUAAUAGAAUGAUACAAAUAGUUUGCCUCCGUUUUUAAAAAGGUUCAGAGCUAGCACCGUUGUAUCAUCCCUCUACAUCAGCCCACUCUAGAGAGGGUCUCUGCAACCUUUUUCUUUCGGCCAUCUUUGUACGACAUGAUUCGUUUCUUGACAUGGAGUGUUUGAGCGUGUUCAGCUAUCAAUAGCAUAUCACUUAAAAUUGCAUCGCAAAAGAAUAUCAUACACUUGCAUGUUUUUUGCACUUUCAUCAAUACACUAUGAAGCGAUAAAAAACACUCAAUGGAAUAUUAUGUAGUAACACACUUCAACAAAACAAGAUUGCUAAUAACCAAAAAACGCAGCCAGAUUAGACCUCUAUGUUCUUCGUCAAAGUCAAGUGAUCUUUAUAGUUUUGUGAGAAUAAAUUUCCUCUCGUUUUUUUGGCAGUGCCAUGAGGUUAGAGAGUUUUUUGUCCUCACAGAUUCGACUAUUCAGAUAUGAUGAGUUUAUGUUGAUGUGUCAAGCUUUUUUGUUGGUUUGAUUCUUUGUGGAGGUAAAAUCUUUCAUCGACACCAUGAUAAAGAUAUAGUGAUUUGACGACCUGCACUUCUAGGGGAUCAGCCCCGGCCCAAGUACGUUUAUCGAUCAAGGCUACCCAUCUUUCUAGAUGGGCGACUCAAGACGCUUUCAAAAACCAUUAUUGGCAAUGUUUGUGCGGGUGAAAGAGUGACAACAUCGUUGGUCCAGUCUAAUUGCAGCAUCUUUACUGAAGUCUUUGAAGUAUUUCUUCGAGCUAAGAUUGAUACCGCAAAGAAGGUGUUUCCAAGAGAUUUCAUUGUAAUUCUUAGUCACAUGAGCUACUUUGUAUUUUCUUGGAUCUUAGGUCCAAAUAAGUGUAUAUAUAAUUGUUAUGAGUAUGAAUAAAGUGGUGUUUCUAAAAAAGAAUCUCCAUAACAAUAGUAAGUAUGUAUGAGGAUGUCAGAAGUCAGAACAUCUUGUGUAUGGUUACAUGCUACAACACUAUUCCUUAGAUAAACUAGUUGUGUAGAACUUCAUCCUUUUUCAGAAUCUUGUAUUUGUAAUGCGACAAACGAACUAAUGCAUCGCGAUCUAAAGUAAAUCAUACCCCGUCCUAUGAAAUUUAAAGUGAAUCUACACUUGAUGACUACAAAAGAAACAUAAAACUAUACAAGCAUGUGCGAGAAAAGAAAGAUGAACAACUUAUCAUUUGCCUCAUAUGUCAUCUAACUAAUCGAGUGGUUCGAAUAACUUUGCUUCGCCACAAUGAUGACAAAGUCAACCUUUUAUUGAAGCCCGAACUCUGCAAUAAAGCUGCAAUGGUAGAUAUAUUAUUUAUCAAGGGAAUCCACAAAGCUGAGCUCCUGCACACAAGAGACUAAGAGAGUAGGUGAGUUAUAAAAAAAAUCAAGGAGGGUGAGUGAGGUGCACGAUGAAGUUAAAUAUUAGAAGUACUCCAAAAUAGUGGGGUACCAAAAUUAUAGGCCUCGUUGAUUCAAAGAAUUUUCAUAGAAAUUUGAAGGAUUGUGGUCCUUCAGUUUUUUCCCUACAUUGGUUGUUCGGUUUGUAUGAUUAAAUUCUAUAGGAAUUUUUCCUAAUGAUUCCCUUGUACUACAUUUCAGAGAAAUUUUAGCAUCUAAUCAAACAUCCUGAAAAGAAUCAUUUGUUUUUAUUGUGAAACAAUCAAACCAAUCAAAAUCAUAUAGGAUUCAUACAGUCAUAACAAAUGCAAUCCUAUUUAUUUUCUAUUUCUGUGUUUUUGAAUCAUGUGAAUCAAAUAGUAUUGGCCAUAGUGUACUCCUAUAGUAAGUUUGGCAUUUUUUUAGACUGACAGGAGGGCAGAAAACACCCCCCCGGCUCCACUAUUUUCAUUGAAAACGUGAAACCAGGUUCACAGAGAGAACAACCUUCUGACAAAGGUUCUAUGGGACUUACACCAUACUACACUCCCUAAACUGCAAUGCAAAGCAAAAGUAAGGGGAGCCAAUCGCUCACAAGGUUCGAGGGUGUAACUUGUUACAAGCCUCAAAGUCUAGAUCAGAAACUAAGGUGCUCACACCCAAAACAGAAAAUUUCCAGCCGAGAGUGUCAUUUCUUCAUUCGCCCACCGGUACAGCUCCAGCCUUCUUCUGACUCGCCUGGUAUGCACAUCCCCAUUUGAUUCUCUUGAAGGUUUGUACAGGGGUCAGCGGCAGUUCCAGCGGAGUGGCAGGGCUUAGCGGCGAUGAGUGUUUGCAGUUCCUCUCGGGGCUGUUCGGAGGUGUGUAGCGAACGGGAGCCAGUAAACCUGCAAACCACCCCUCAUUUCCCAGCGACAUUUUAGAGAGUGAGUCUAGGCUCAAGAUACCUGCGGUAUCAUUGCCAUCGAUCACCCCAUAGUCAGCAGGAAAGGGGAGGUGAGGGUCAUUGCCACUUUCUGUGAAACCAGCUUCAACUCUUCUAAGGGAUUUUCUUUGAACAAGAUCAUCCACUUCUUGAGAGUCAGAUGGAUCUGCCACCAAAUCUGUUUAAGGUCAGUCCACGUCACAUUGUUGAAAACCAUGGAAUUUCUAAACUUCCAGAUGCACCACAUAACACAGGCACAAACAGAGUUCAAGACCAGCUUAUUCUUAUGGGCUGGCCAAAAUCUAGCAAUAGAUAUGUAGUCAUUGCCUACAUCAUGAGAAAGGUUUUUAGAUAUUUCAAUCCAAAUCUGUUUAGCAACCACACAACCAAAGAACAGGUGGUCUAUGGAUUCCUGUUCUUUGCAAAACAUACAUUCAGGUGGUUUAGUAAUACCUCUUUUUAACAGAUUAUCUUUAGUCAUUAACUUGUUAUGAGACAAGAGCCACAAAAACACUUGUACUCUAGGAGGAACCACUAUAGACCACACAGAAGGUAUAUAUAUAGGUUGCACUCCUCUAAAAUUAAUAAUAUUGUAAAGAGAACUAGUAGAGUAGACCCCUUUGCUCUCAUAUUGCCAAAUUAGGGAAUCUUCAUCAUCAGUCAGCACAGAGCUCUUGAUGAUCUGCUCUAGGCAGUACCAAUUCUCCAUCAUGGCAUCUGAGAAAACCCUUCUAAAUGUCAAUCUGACAUCAACCCCAUCCCAAAUAUCUGCAACAGUCACCCCCUGCUGGUGGCAGAUAGUGUAUAGGGGCCAGAACUGAACUGACAGUGGGGAGGUGCCAAACCAGAUGUCUUCCCAAAAUCUAAUUUUCUUACCAUUACCAAUUUUCCAUCUAUAUCCAAACUUCAGGGCUUUUGCAGCCCACAUUACCCCUUGCCAGAAUUUGGAGGUGUUCUGGGGGUUGGAGGCAAAAAUGUUUGGACUUUUCUUAAUAUAUUUAGAGUCUACUAUCUGUUUCCAGAUCUUGCCCUCAUCUUGGAUAUAUCUCUUAACCCAAUUACCUAACAGGCACAGGUUAACAUCCUUGAUGUUAGGGAUACCCAUCCCCCCAUAUUCUUUUCUCAUGCAAACCAAAUGCCAGUUUGCAAGAUGAAGUUUCCUAUCCCCCUCGAAGUCACUCCAAAGACAGUGAGCAAGCUGGCCGUUGAUCAGGUCCAGAGCCCAUUUGGGGAAUUUGAAGAAGGAGAGCAGGUAGACUGGGAUGCUAGCAAGACAAGCUUUAAUCAAAACCACCCUAGCAGCAUAAGAGAGUAGCUUUCCUCUCCAUCCAGCCAUCCUUUUGAGGAUCUUGUCAAUAAGGGGCUGGAUGUCCUCCCUCCUAAGCUUGUCAUAGUGAAGAGGGAUGCCCAGAUAUUUAAUAGGGAAGGUACCUACAACACAUUCUAAUAUAUUCUUGAAAGAAUCUACCUCUCUGCCAGUGAGCCCAAGAGGGAUAAUCUCACUUUUUGAGUAGUUGAUCCUCAUACCAGAUACAUUCUCAAAACAGGUUAGAACAUGUUUGAGGUUAGUAACCUUAUCUUCAGAAUUGUCUACAAAGAGGAUGGUGUCAUCUGCAUAUUGAAGGCAGAUAACACCUCCAGGGAUGAGAUCAGAGCACAACCCUUUUACUAAGUUAUGAGAUGUUGCUUUGGCCAGCAUCCUGGUCAAAACAUCUAUUACAAGGUUAAAUAGUAGUGGGGAGAAGGGGUCUCCUUGUCUCAGUCCUUUGCCAGUAGUGAAGAAAUCUCCUUCUACCCCAUUGAUUUUCACUCCAAUGGAUCCCAUUUGGGUGAUCUGCUUGACCCAGUUUAUCCAUUUUGUGCCAAAACCUCUUUUUUCUAGAAUUUCAUAGAGAAAAUCAAGAUUCACCUUGUCAAAGGCUUUCUCAUAGUCUAGUUUGAUCACUAGUCCAGCAUUACCAGAAUGCACGGUGGAGUGCAGCACUUCAUGUGCUGUCACCACACUUUCUAGUAUGUAUCUGCCCUUAAUGAAGGCAGAUUGGUUACUGGAGGUGAGGAAAUUCAUCAACUUAGCUAAUCUAUUAGUCAAGACUUUGGUGAAGACUUUGAAAAUGCAAUUAAGCAGACUAAUAGGCCUGAACUUCUUCAUAUUAGAAGCUUCUUGUUCUUUAGGAACAAGAGUAAUCAUAGCAAAGUUAAGCCUGUAGAUGUCCAGGUCUCCCUCAUAAAAAUCUUUGAAGAGGGCCAUAAUAUCUUGUUUUAGCACCUCCCAAAACUGUUGUAAGAAGAGAAAAGAGAGCCCAUCAGGGCCUGGGGCCCCAUCUGAGUAAGACCCAAAAAUGGCUUCUUUCACCUCUUCUUCAGUAAAAGGAGUUUGAAGAGAACUAUUGUCUUCUAUUUUAACUUUUUCUCCUUCAGAGAAGAAGUCAUCCCUCAACCUAAACCCAUUUCUACUCUCUUUUUUAAAGAGAUCUUUGUAAAAGGAGGAGGCAAUGUGUAACAUGUCUUUGGUCUCUGUGACAGUGCCAUUAGGACCAUCUAGGGCAUGAAUCUGUGUUUUCCUCCUCCUUUGAUUGGCUACAGCCUGGAAGUAUUUAGUAUUCCUAUCUCCCUCUAGGAUAUCUUUAUCUCUAGAUCUUUGUUUGGCUUUCACUUCAUCUUUAAGCCAAAUAUGGUGAAGUUCUUGCAUUACCACUUUCAUCCUAUUGAUCUCAGAGUCAGAUAACUGCUCUGUUUCAGCCUUAAUAUCUAAGGAAUCAAAUUCCUGUGUGAGGUGGGCUUUAUGUUUUCUAAUAUCAGCUUCUAUAUUUAUGCUCCAUCCUCUAGCAAACCUCCUAAACCUCCUGCCUUUUUCCUGCCAAAUAUCUAUAGCUUUUUUGUUCUUGACAGGAGCUGUCCAGUUCUUGAUGACUAAAUCUCUAAAUUCUGCCUUCAGCAGCCACCAUUUUUCAAUUUUGAAACUGGUGGGUUUAGGGGGGCUACUCAGCCCAGAGUCCCAUAGUAAUGGUGUGUGGUCACUCCCAAUUCUGGGAAGAGCUUGGGAGCUGCCUAAAGGGAACAAAGCAUCAAAAUCUGUAGUACAGAAGAUUCUAUCAAUGGUAGACAUAACCAAAUUUUUUUGGUUAUUGGCCCAUGUGAAUUUUCUGCCUGACAUUUUAAUUUCUAAAAGACUCCAGAUCUCUACCCAAGCCUUAAAUUUAUCACUCCAGUGGUGAUUGAUAUUGCCAUUACUCUUGUCUUUUUGAUACCUGACUAGAUUAAAAUCACCACCAAUCAGGGUAGGCAGAUGAUCAUCUAUGAACAAGCUAUGUAGUUCUGAUAUAAAAUCAUCUUUACCUUCCUCAUAAGGUGAUCCAUAAACUCCAAUAACUCUACAUUUAAUCUUACUGGCUUUGAUUGUAAGAGUGCAAGAGACAGAGUAUUUGAGAGAGAGCCAACUAUCAAUCUCAAAGAUGUCUUCAUCCACUCCUACCAGGAUGCCACCAGCAGUGCCUUCUGCAGGCAGGUCGUGCCAUCCAAUGUUUCUAUUGUUACAAAUGCUUUUCAAAAAAGAUGAAGAGAGCAUUUUUCUCUUAGUUUCCUAGAAGGCUAUGAUGCAAGGUUUGACUUUGUUGAGAACAUCUUCUAUACAGGAUUUCCUGCCAGGGGCAGCAAUCCCCCUGAUGUUCCAAAAAAGGCAAUUCAUCUAAACAAUGUUUUCUUGGGGUGCUUGCCCCGCCCAUAUUUUGACACUUUGGUCCAUAGAUUGCUAUAAUCUAUCCCAUUAUGUGCCUCAACAUUACACCCUUCAGGUGUAUGAGGAGAGCUAUCAUGAUCAUCUAUGCUAAAAAAGGUAUCAUCCCUAAGGAUGUCCACUACACCAGAGGGCCCCACAGGCUCUUUGGUUUUGUCAAUGCUCUUCUUUAGCCUAUUUUUGUCUACAUUAGGUCUAUCUAUUUCAAUACCUAUUUUGCUAGCAGUAUUAAUGAAAUCAGGAUCAGAAAAGUACUCAAAGGAAUUCUUUAGGAGGGUACCUUUGUAGCUAUUCUUCUCCAUCUCCAGGUUGAGCAUCUUCUUUUUGUUAACUGCAAUUUCCAGCAUAGUCUUCUCACCUACCUCAACCCUGAUGCUUUUCCUCUGAGCCUGCACUGGUCCCCAAAUCUUCACUUAUUUAGGUAAGUUUUCCCCCCUGCUCCUUGAUGACAGCAUUGGGGCUGAAGAUCACACCUACUUCUUCUUCAGCAAGAGGCUCUUCACAGGUAUCAGCUAGAUUGUUGAAGAUCUCAUCAUCAUCAUCAUCCUCUAUCUCCAUUUCUUGAAGCAGCUGGCAGCUAUGAGCAUCUAACUCUGUGUCAUGCAAAUUUUGCAGGAAGGACAUGGUAGUUUGUUUUGAAUGUUGGUGACUCCCACUAGUUUUUCCAUUACUGUUUGACCUAGAGGUAGAGUUCAGGUUGUUUGUGCCCCCUUCAUUGUGUCCAGCAGGGGCAGUCGUGUCCCUAUUGGCCCCUGUGUCUGUUUCUCUCUCAGAUCUGUCAUCUAGUAAGUCAUCACUUAGAUUUUCCUCAUUUGGUGGCUCCACAGUAAUGCCUAUUUUGUAUAACUUUGUACCUACUCCAAAGAUUCUGCUGGUUGGAAUUUUAGUGUAGUCUUUGCAUCUAACUUGGACUCUGACCACUUCAAAAAAGGAUUUGAAGUUUCCUUGCCAAUCUACAUCUACAAGUGUACCAACUACAGAGGUGAUUUGCUCCAGCACUGCCCAUUCAGCCCACUUUGGCGCCACUCCAGUGAGCCAGUGAGCUGCAGCCACACUGUUUGCAGCUCAGCCACAUGUUCCAUCUCACCAUUCCACUCUUCCACAUUGACUGUAACACCUUCCAUUUCUGGUAAACCAAAGUUGGGGUAGCCAGCCACUUGGGCUAUUGGUAUAUGUGGUGGGAACUUGACUAGGUAGGUCCAUUCAUCCAACUUCCUAAUUUGCCAAGGCCAGUUGGUUUUGUAGAUCAGAGAGAAGUUAUGAGCCAUCUCCUCCUUAGUCACCUGUCCAGCCUCUAUGUACACUAUCCCUACAUUUUUCCCUGCUCCUAGAUGUUGCCCAUUCACAUCAGGCACCUCCACUGUAGGAGAUAUGCCCUAGAGGCAAUAAUAAAUGAUAUUAUUUAUCUCCGAGUUCAUAAUUAUGUUUAUGUUCCAUGCUAUAACUGCAAUGAUUCUCGAGUCUGCAAUAUCCACGAGGCUCGGAGGAAGACUCAUCUGCACGUGUGGAAUAAUAAACGGUAAGAAGUAUUCCUAGUCUGGCCUCUAAGACUAGCUCAAGUGUUGCAUGAUGGUUCUGUUUUCCUGAUCAUGGGCAUGUCUAUGCCAGCAAUUUUGAGGGCACAAUGUUAAGAGAACAUUUGUGUUGAAUCGACCCGGAUUGAUGUUAUGUUAAGAGAUUCAUUCGUCACAAGUUAAUGGUUUAUAACACAGAGAUAGUUAAUGUUUGCAUAAUUCCUUAGACCAUGAGAGUAUCGAGUUUCUUCAUGCUUGCUUCAUGAACUUUGGGGUUUGUUAAACGUCAUCCGUAACUGGAUGGCUAUUACGGCGGCUUACGGGUUCAUGGGAAAGUAUGUUAAGUAACUUGAUAGCUCGAGAUUGGGAUUUUCUCCUCCGAAGAUGGAGAGAUAUACUCGGGCCCACUCGGUGUUACGGUGUCCAUCAUCGUCUGGCCAGACACUUUGUGAUUUGAUCACGGGGAUGCCGGAACACGAAACGAGAAAAGAGAACAAAACCGGUAACGAGGUAACUUGCAUAGUGGACAAAGUGUUGGCCCACGGGGAUGCAAUAAAUCUCACCUCAGGUGUUUGUGAUAUAUCGUGAAGCAACAGGAAUAGCUCACCUCAACUGGAGGUUCACUCGAAUAUUCAUUCGUGUGGGUAUAGGGGUCAACAUGGGUGUCCACGGCUCCGAUGUUGAUCAUUGAUCGGAAGGGGGUUCCAGGUCAUGUCUAUACUUCACCGAACCUAUAGGGUCACACGCUUAAGGGUCAUCUAUCUGCUGAAUACUAGACAGGGAGUCAGAGAAAAUCACCGAAAAAGUUUCGGACACCGAAAAGUUUCGGACAGCGGAAUCGUACCGCAGAGAGAGGUCACCGGAUGAGUUUCGGUGAAACCGAAAAAGUUGUUUCGGGGUAUGCCAUUAAGUCAAAAUGGUUUCGACACAUGCCUGAUAAUUCUUGGAGGGUGCCAGAAUCAUUCUGAAAACUUUUUGGAAUUUUCAGAAAUAAAAACCGAAAAUGUUUUGGAGCUGCCGGUACCGCUUUGGCUGUUUUUCGCAGAUGAAAUUCACUAAUCUGAAAUUGUGUCAGAACGAAUCCAAAAUCAUUUAGUGGGUACUGGAAUUAUUCUAAGACCCACAGAAAUAUUUUCGGAUUUAGUGGACGCGAAAAAUUGUCUUCAUGAAUAGUGAAAACGCAUUCUUGUUUGCUUUUCACAGAUGAAAAUCACUAAACCGAAAUUGUUUCGGAACGCGUUGAAAAUUAUUUUAGUGGGUACUGGAAAUGUUCUGAGCCCACAUAAAUAUUUUCAGUUCGAACGGACGCUGAAAAAUGUCGUCAUGAAUAGUGAAAGUGCUUUUUGCUUGGCUUCUUGGAGAAGCCACCUUGAGGGCCUUUUUGGUAUUCCCCCCCUUGGCUUCUUGGAGAAGCCACCCUUGGGCUUGGCCUAUAAAUAGGGGUGGAGGGGGCUGCCUAAAGGAUCAUCCCUUCUCACAUACAAGUGCCAUGCAUGAUCUGGCUUCUCUCUCCCUCCCAGCGAAAUAGUUUCGUAGAGCCGAAAGGCUGUCUGGGUUCCGGUGGGAACUAGUUCUGGACGGCGAAGCCCUGCCGGAUAGAUGACACCGUAUGUGUGCAACUCUGUAGAGAGAUCGUAGUUUCGGUCUUAGUUCAUGAGUGCCUCCCGAAGGGCUGUCCGUGUGACCGUCCGAGUUUCGAAGGUCCUCGCGAAGGGCUGUCCGAGUGACCGUUCGAGUUUCGAAGGUCCUCCCGAAGGGCUGUCCGCGACACCGUCCGGGGGGCUGUUCGACCGCCUCCCGGAGGGCUGUCUGAGGAGCAGAUGAGGGUAUACAUCCUCGCGGUUGGGAGGUUGGAAAUCCUAGCUGCGGGGAUCUGCACCGCCGAUCGUCAUCGACUCUACUUCCCGCUGCGCUACGAGUCGGUAACGAAAAAGAUCAAACCUUGUAUGCAGUCUCCAUAGUGGUCCUGGGCUGGUGCGUAGGUCGGAAUUUUUUGUUUUCUGCUGCGUUCCCCUACAUCCACUUGGAAAAAACCCAGUCCUGUGGCUGCACUGCCCACAAAUUUUGCAGCAUUCCUUGGCUUUUUCCUCACUCGGCAGUCUUCAACCUUGUGGUUUACCAUUUUGCAAAUGAAACAGGCAGGAGCCUGCUGGCACUGAGUCUUGUGAUGACCAGGUUCUCCACAACUAUAGCAGACCACAUCAGCAUAUUCUUGGGGUGCAUUCUCCUUGCUCUUGAAGGUACUUUUGUUCUUAACUGGCUUGCUUUUCCUUUGCUGGUUUCCAACAUUGUUGGUUCUAUUCCCUUCAACUUGCCCUUGCACAGACUGUUGCUGCUGCUGUUGCUGUGGUAUAGCUCCUGUCAGAUUGUUCAGGGUGCCCCCAUUGCCAGAGUUUUGAGCCCCCUGGCUGGUGCCCUGAUUUUGAUUCUGGGUCGACUGGUUGCCCUGAGGGCCAGGCUGCAUCUGCUGGAGAGGAUUUCCCCCCUGAGGCAUGCCAGAAGAUUGCCCCACCCCCCAUGUAUGUGGGUUGUUCCAUUGGUUCACUGGAGGGGGUAGAAUGGCCCCUGGUACCAUGGAGGGGGAGGCCCUCCCUGGAAGCCAAAACCAAAAGGGAAUUGCGGAGGGGGAGGACCAAACUGUCGGUCGAAUUGUGUAGCCCACUGGGUUUGGUUACCUGUGUCUAAGCUGUUGAUCUGCGAUCUGUCACCUGCUCUUUUGCCUCUCCCCUGGCCUCUUCCUCUGCCUCGAUCCGCCAUGGCCCUAAGCUUGGUGAGGUCUGGAGGUGUUCCAGACCACCGGCUUUGCGAGAUGGAGACGGAAAUCGCCUUGCUGUAAACAGGGUCUCUAGCAGUCUGGCUCUGGGCCGGGAAGCAAUCUUCCGUGGUGAAGUUGCGGCUGGGGAUAAGGUCUCUCCUCACCCAAACCAGCACCGAUCGGUGAUUUAUAGGCCCGCCGCUAGGGUUUGCAUCUUCUACUUCGAUCCAGAGCUGACCAAAUAUCUCAAUCAGGCCCUCCUCUUCGCUUUUGCUUGAGCUACUUUCCACCUCAUCUGCUUUUGAUUUUCCUCGCCGCGCUUUGUCUGCCCUGUUUUUCCUCUCACCGCCAGGUAGGCCCUGUCGCCUGAAUCCAUCUCCGGCGAAGCAGGGGAUCUCACCUAUGACGGUGACAGGCUCUGACGAGCACCCGCCCCGGUGGUGUUCGCCGGCGGCUCUGCCUCCCCCAUCUCUCCCCCACCACGCUGAGCGCGAGGCGGGGAUUGGAACGCAGCUCUGCAGAGGGGGGAGUCCAGCCCCAAAUCCGUGGCGCGGUCUCCUCGGCGGCUCACCUCGCACGGCGAAUUGACGGCGCGCACUACCCAGCUCACCAGGGUGGUGGCUGGAGGGACCAGAAGGCCCUCCACUUCACCCGCUGCGCCGGAAUCGCUGAACCCAUCUCCGCACGAGCCCAUCUGAUGAUUUCAUCUGGCGAAGCUGAAUCUCCUGGCAGCAUCCUGGCCAUCUCCUCCGGUGUGGCCUCGACGCAGAUCCGCGUGAUGAGUUUCUGGAUCGAAUCCCCUCUCCUGGGGAUCCGCAUCGUCCGCGCCAUGCGCAUCCGCACCAUUCCCUCCGCCAUUAUUUCUUCCUCGAGAUCUCGAAGCGUCCUCUCGCGCGCCAUUAGGCGGAGGGGCUGAGGGGGAGCACUUCGCGCGAGGUAGCGGCGGGGAGGUCGACGGCGGUGGGCGGUGUGGUGGCUGGUGGCGCGGUGGCUGGUGGUGGCGGUGGCGGUGGUACGCGGAGGGGAAUGCGCAUCCGCACCAUUCCUUCUCAUGCAUUGGUAAUAUAAGUUCUAUGCACCAUAGUAAGUUUGGCAUCCGUCCUGGUCCAACAAAAUAGUGGUGUGGUCGGGAUCCCGCUGUGCGAUAUCUCUUACUCGUUGUGUAAACUAAUAUAGGACAUUUUGGAUCACUCAUUUAGGGUUUUAAAACAUCUUAUAUUAGUUUAUAGAGAGGAGUUUAUGCCCUCCACUUGGCGGACCAAGUUUAUCACCAGUCUCGGUCGUCGACAACUAGUACUGCUCAUGCACGUGAGCAUAUAUUGGGUUUAGGCACCGCUGUCUGAUCCACUUGACCACCGCUUGCAGCGGUGAGUUUGCAUGUUACGUUGGAUCGCCGUUGUUUUGGUCCUGCAUGGAUUGAUGGCCGGAGUAUCUAGAACCAGACAGAUUAGUACUAAUCAUAGUAAUUAAGGAGUAUAUCCACUAGUAUCUGACAUUCACUUGGCCACCUUAUCGUUUAUCCCAAACGGGCUACGUACUCACCCAACAUUACAAUCACCGUGGCUAAACUACACUCCUUCAAUUCCAUAUAUAAUGUAGUCCAUAUAGCUUUUCUUUUUUAAAUCAAGUUUUACGAACUUUUACCAAGUUUAUUGAAAAAACCGCUUACAUCUAGAAUACCAAAUAUCUAUCAUAUCAAAGAAUUUUUUUUUUUUGACCUGAAGUGAACGCCGGGUUUUUAUUCGUGAAAAUUUAUAUACUAGUGCAAAAGAAAGUCAAGUUUAUUAUUGAAAAAACUUCUGAACUAUUUUGACUUUUUUUUGUAAUUUUAUCUUUUUUCCCAUAGAGGGUGUAGAUACAACGAAGAACCAAGGGGUAUUCCCUGCUACUCCCUCCUUUCCAUAAUGUUGUGCAUGCAGAUUUUCUGAAAAGUCAAACCAAACUAAUUUUGACAAGAAAAUUAUUUUUAUAUACAAUUCAAAUCAUACCAAAUAUGAAAAUAUAACUGAUGAUGUUUCGACAAUAUGCAUUUGGUAUUUUAAGUGUCCAUGUUUUGCCUAUAGACAUAUUCAGAGUUUAUAAUGUUUGAUUUUUAGAAAACCUAUAUGCACUAUAUUAUAGAACGAAGGGAGUAUAAUUAACUGAAUUAUUGGACUAACCGCAUCAAGAUCGGAUCACAUCGGUCCACUCUUUCCUCCUAUCCCCAACCCACGUUCUGAAGGCGACCCUAUGCAUGACAUCAACCCCCGAACCCCCUCCCUCUUUUGUUUUGUCAGUUAAUUUACCUCAAGCUCACAGUCACGCGCGCGCACACCUUCCUAUCUAACAAUCGAUCGAUGCAGCUUCCCUUCCCCUCCCUUCCUAUUUAACAAGCUCCUUGCACCUCAGGAAGGGAAGCACCAUUACACACGCUAGAAAUGGAGAUGGCCAGGACGACGACACUCCUCCUCGCCGCCGCGGCUCUCCUCGUGGCCUCAUGCGGCGCGUGGGAGGCCAACAUCCGCAUGCCGACCUCGCUGGACGAGGCCGUGGUGGCGCCGCUGAUCCACGCGCUGCGGCCGCUGCUGGGCUCCGGCAAGCACGCCGGAGUGGCGUGCGACAGCUGGGUGCUGGGCGUGGAGGCGCACAACGUGCGGGGCUGGAAGACGGUGCCCGCCAGCUGCGAGGGCUACGUCGGCCACUACAUGCUCGGCAGCCACUUCCGGCGCGACUCCAAGGUCGUCGUCGACCAGGCCCUCGCCUACGUCGACUCCCUCAAGCUCUCCGGCAACGGCAAGGAGGUCUGGGUCUUCGACAUCGACGAGACCACCCUCUCCAACCUCCCCUACUACGCCAAGCACGGAUUCGGGUACGUUUACGUAGACACUUUUCUAUGCUACGUGUGUUCAUCAUGGACUUGCACUGAUCUUUUCAUUCAGAUAAAGUAAAACUCUGACCACACCUCUAAAAGAAAAUUCAACUCACUAGCUAGAAAGCACCAGUAUCAUAAGAUCUCUACUGAAUGAAAGUGGGAACAAAUGAGACUAGAAGUGGAAAUAAAAAUGCAUAUUUUGGACAUCAUUACUGCUCACCUCCAAUUAAUCACAGUCACUGAGACGGCCAACAAAACAAGAGCAAAACAUACUCCAUCACAUUUGCCUCUAGAAUGCCAAACAUAUAUAUCAUAAUACUCAUCAUAAGAUGUACUUUCAUAUUUUAUAUAUUAGGUAUUCUAGAUAAAUAGUUUACUUUAUAAAUUUAAUCUAAGUUUGCUAAGUUUGACUUUUUAAAAAAUUAUAUGCACUACGUUUUGGAACGGAGGGGGUACCAUCACUACUACAGUUAGUGAUAAAGAUGUGAUGUGAUGGGCAUCUGUUAUCCACUUGGCUAUUUUAUCGAACGGUUUAUUUUUCAACCGUCAUUAUCAACUGAUUACUAUCUAUAAUUAUGUUAUCAAAAUUGAGUUUAGAUGGAUAAUACUUAUAAUAAUGUGAAUAUCUAACAAAUCGAGGGGUUCAAGUAACUUUGCUUCACCACAAUCAUUUGUGACAAAGCUAACCUUUUUUGUUGAAAGCCGAAACUCUGCAAUAAGCCUUUUUUAGCGGGUAAAACAUGCAUUACUCAACUCAAAAGAUCAUUACACUCGAUCGCUGCAAUGGUAAACCUAUUUUAUCAAAGGAAUCAAGAAAUAAGCAGAGCUCUCACGAGUCACAAGGAGGGUGAGCGAGGUGCACGAUGAGAUUAAAUAUAUACAAGUUGUGAGUAAGUUUGACUCUUAUUCUUGGUCCACAAAAACAGUGUCGGAGUUGGAUCUCGCUGUGUAAUAUUAAUUAAUUAAUUUAGAACUCCACUUGGCCAACUUCAUUAUUUAUCAUCAGUCACGUUCGUCCACAACUACGUACAGCAUUGGGUCUAGGUACUGUUCAUCCGCUUUGGCCAUUUGGCCACUUGGACCACAAGGUUACAUACUUCGGUUUGCAUAAUUACUUAUUUUUGAACUGGUAUGCAUAUAGUACUACACAUAAAUCUAUCUUCAUAUACACAUACGUGUGCGCAGCGCUACACCAUUCAACGCGACGAGCUUCGACGCAUAUGUGCUGGAGGGGAGCGCGCCGUCGCUGCCGGAGACGAAGCGGCUGUACAACAAGCUGCUCUCGGUCGGUGUCAAGCCGGUGUUCCUCACCGGCCGGACCGAGGACAAAAGGGCCAUCACCGUCACCAACCUCCGCCGCCAGGGCAUCUCUGGGUGGAUGAACCUGCUGCUGAAGCAGCCUGGCUUCAAGGGCUCCGCGGUGACCUACAAGUCCGGCGAGAGGCAGAAGCUGCAGGAUGCCGGGUACAUCAUCAUCGGUAACAUCGGCGACCAGUGGAGC
Molecule: long non-coding RNA, 16733 nt
Filed under: Triticum aestivum (bread wheat)
Lineage: Eukaryota; Viridiplantae; Streptophyta; Magnoliopsida; Poales; Poaceae
Description: long non-coding RNA (TAES_LNC004919)
Source: RNAcentral